CAUUGAUCUCAUGAGCGUUACUAAAUGGAGCCACAGCUUCUCCAAGGGUUAAAGUCUACAGUCAGCCUGUCAGGUAGGUGUGUAUAUUUGAGGUUCCACUGAACUCUCAGUCCUACUCCUUGCUCAUCUACACUUCUCUUCCAAGUCGGCAUCCUCUGUUACCUGCCCUCCUGCUCUAUGCUCUAAAGUAGAAGACUCUCCAGUAAUAGUCUUAGCCUUUUCUCUGACUCUUUUCUCCAGUUCCUUUUCUUACCUGACACCCAGCUAGGCAUUCUCAGCAGGGAUGUUGUUUUUAAUUUGAUAUAGUUUUUUGUUUGUUUGCUUCAUGCUCCAUGUUCUUCAGACCAGAAGUGGGGAAGCACACAGAGGAGAGACACACAGAAGAGAAGGUGAUAGUGAAGAUGAAGGUAGAUGUUGGAGUGGUGCAGCCAGCAGAAGUUGGAAGAGGCAUGAAAUCUUCCCCAGAGCUUCUGGAAGGAAUGUGGCCCUGCUGACACCUUGAUUUCAGACUUUUAGCCUCCAGAACUGUAAGACAAUAAAUUUCUGUUGUUUGAAGUCCCUAGUUUGUAGUAAAUUCUUAUAGCAGCUCUAGAAAAUGAAUACGUCUUCCAACAUUGUUUCUUCUUUUUCAAGACUGUUUUGGCUAUUUUGGGUGCCAAAUCCAUCUCAUUAGUGAUUUACCUCCUAGAAAAACUCUAAGCAAAUUGCCCUUUCUUUUAUACUCAAGGGGUGAACAUUCUUCACAUAUUUGAAGACUGAUAUAGAAUGAUGGCGUUUAAAGUAAAAGGAGAUUUUAGAGAUAGUCCAAUUGCUUUACACAUAAGGAAAUUGAAGUCUUCCGCCUGAGGCUGAAAAAGUUCUGGCCAGACCAGGAUGAGAGCCUUGGUCUCUGUACUUCCAGUUGAGCUGUCUUUCUUCUACCCCGUGCUGCCAUCUUGUAAGGGCAAAGACUGUAUCUUAUACAUUUUUGUUUCACAUAUUCAUUUGCCAAUUAUGUAUUGUGCACAAACUAUAGACACUCUUUUAGGUACUAAAGAUAUGUCAAUAAAAACAAUUCUUUCCUUUAUUGUACACUUUACUGUGUAUGUGUGUGUAUAGGAGGGGAUAGCAGGGGUGGAGUAAGAAUAUAAAACCAUAAAAUAAGUUUAAAAAUGAGAUGGAGGGUCAUCUAAACCACAAGCAUAGUUGCCUACACAGAAUAGGGUGCUCAGAUGUUUGUUUAUUAAUAUUUGUUGAUUGUUGUUCUUUCCCUCCAUCCCAAACAUCCUGAGGAGACUCCAAGAACCUUUUCAACUUGAGGAAAUCUAUAUUCUACAGCUCUAGGCUUCUAACAACAUUUCCUCAUUGCAUGACUGAUUUCUUGAGAAUAGUCUCCUUUAAAACAAUAUUUAUAUUACAUCUUAAAAAUGUAGCACUGGUAUUUAAAUUCUAAAGACAGAGAUAGUCUCCUAUGACCCACCUAUUAUAUCGAUAGUGAUCAAAUUCACGGCGUGGAAAUCAUACCACACAUGCCUUGUAGAAUAUUAUUCUUAACCAGAUUGCAAAUUGGUUAGCAACUUUCCAAAUCAUAUGUUUCUAGGCAUUGUUUUCUGUAGUGAUUAAAUAUUCUCACAUAUAUUAUGUUUUAUAUCUUAGUCAUUCUUAACAAACUGCAGUUAUGCUGGAGUCUUGUCAACUGAAUAAAAAAUAUUCUAGAUUUCUUAAUACUCCUUCUAACAAAGUUGUCAGUUAAGCAACUUACACUUAUCAUUAACACACUUCUGUUUUUUAAAGAACAGUUACAUUAGUAUUUCUAAAAGCAUUUUAGAGGAAUCUCAGGUUAGUCUGUUCAAAGGCCAUUAAAAUUACUCUGAAAAGGAAGCUGAUUGUAUUUCUUAUGCAGACAAAUAAUGAGACACCAAGAAUGCUAGAAACACAGAUGCAGGCUGUAAAUACAUGACUCCAAAUGACUAAAUGAAAAUUGAAAAAUAAACUAAUUUCCAAUUACCUAGAUGCUUGCUAGCUUUUGGGUAAUAUUACAUUUGAUGUAGUUUAAAAAUGCUCUACUAAUAACCUCUCUAUUUUGUAGACUGUGAGCACCAUGAGAACAAGGACUAAUCCAUUAAUUUUUAUCUGUUUGACCUUGAACAAGUUACUCUCUGUGCCUCAGUUUUCUAAUCUGUAAAAUUAGGGUAACAAGAGUUUGUACUUUAGAGGCAUAUGCUGAGGACUAAGUGACAUACAUAUGCAGAGGAAAUAGAACAUUGGCACUUGGUAUAGGCUCUUUAUUGAUAUGCCUGCUACCUUUGCCAGUGACUGAAAUGUAGGAGAAACUUAAUAAAUGUUUGCGAAUGAGCAUAGACAGUGACAGGCGUAGAGGGAGAUACCUGCAGAGAUCCGCACAAAAGGUGCUUACACACAUUUAUAAAUAUAAUAUUUCCUUAUCCUAAGGCAGCAGAUAUAUUUUCUUCCUUUGCCACAUUCUGGUUUUUAGAACUUGGGUAGGUGGGGGACAAAAUCAGAAGAACCUCACAAAUUAAUUUUGUAGUCUCUUAACCACUCUCAAAGCAAAAGUGUCAAGGAGGUAAAGUUUAUCAGGGUACUCCUCACCAGCUGAUUUAGGGUCCUGGAUCUUUCAGUGCCCCUGUAAAGAGUCACUACUAAAGUGUUAAUGGACUGUGAUUUAAAAAAAAAAAAAAA
This is a long non-coding RNA of Trichechus manatus latirostris (Florida manatee), 2679 nucleotides long. RefSeq lists it as uncharacterized. The record is from RefSeq and is a predicted model, not a curated record. The transcript is spliced from 2 exons. Lineage: Eukaryota; Metazoa; Chordata; Mammalia; Sirenia; Trichechidae.